GCGGCGUGCUUAACACAUGCAAGUCGAACGAACCUUCGGGUUAGUGGCGGACGGGUGAGUAACGCGUGGGAAUCUGCCCUCAGGAGGGGGAUAACGGCCGGAAACGGCCGCUAAUACCCCAUAUGCCGAGAGGUGAAAUGAAUUUCGCCUGAGGAUGAGCCCGCGUCUGAUUAGCUAGUUGGUGAGGUAAGAGCUCACCAAGGCAUCGAUCAGUAGCUGGUCUGAGAGGAUGAUCAGCCACACUGGGACUGAGACACGGCCCAGACUCCUACGGGAGGCAGCAGUGGGGAAUUUUCCGCAAUGGGCGAAAGCCUGACGGAGCAACGCCGCGUGAGGGAUGAAGGCCUCUGGGCUGUAAACCUCUUUUAUCAAGGAAGAAGAUCUGACGGUACUUGAUGAAUAAGCCACGGCUAAUUCCG
This 419-nucleotide ribosomal RNA is filed under the name uncultured Synechococcus sp. Its description in RNAcentral is "bacterial SSU rRNA". It matches the Rfam family "Bacterial small subunit ribosomal RNA", at positions 39 to 505 of the family's 1533-position model. Lineage: Bacteria; Bacillati; Cyanobacteriota; Cyanophyceae; Synechococcales; Synechococcaceae. The record is from RNAcentral.